UACAGAGGGUGCGAGCGUUAAUCGGAUUUACUGGGCGUAAAGCGUGCGUAGGCGGUUCGCUAAGUCGGUUGUGAAAUCCCUGGGCUUAACCUGGGAACUGCAGUCGAUACUGGCGGACUAGAGUACGGUAGAGGGUGGCGGAACUCCGGGUGUAGCGGUGAAAUGCGUAGAUAUCCGGAAGAACACCGGAUGGCGAAGGCAACCACCUGGGCCUGUACUGACGACUGAGGUACG
This 234-nucleotide ribosomal RNA is filed under the name uncultured bacterium. RNAcentral describes it as "partial 16S ribosomal RNA". It matches the Rfam family "Bacterial small subunit ribosomal RNA", at positions 524 to 755 of the family's 1533-position model. The record is from RNAcentral.